GAAAUGCGAUAAGUAAUGUGAAUUGCAGAAUUCAGUGAAUCAUCGAAUCUUUGAACGCACCUUGCGCUCCUUGGUAUUCCUUGGAGCAUACCUGUUUGAGUAUCAUGAAAUCUUCAAAGUAAAUCUUUUGUUAACUCAAUUGGUUUCUACUUUGGUAUUGGAGGUCUUUGCAGCUUCACACCUGCUCCUCUUUGUUCAUUAGCUGGAUCUCAGUGUUAUGCUUGGUUCCACUCGGCGUGAUAAGUUAUCUAUCGCUGAGGACACUGUAAAAGGUGGCCAAGGUAAAUGCAGAUGAACCACUUCUAAUAGUCCAUUGACUUGGACAAUACUUUUAUGAUCUGAUCUCAAAUCAGGUAGGACUACCCGCUGAACUUAAGC
This 378-nucleotide unclassified non-coding RNA is filed under the name plant metagenome. Its description in RNAcentral is "partial contains 5.8S ribosomal RNA, internal transcribed spacer 2, and large subunit ribosomal RNA". The stretch from base 1 to 105 matches the Rfam family "5.8S ribosomal RNA", at positions 50 to 154 of the family's 154-position model. The record is from RNAcentral.